Molecule: ribosomal RNA, 422 nt
Filed under: uncultured bacterium
Lineage: Bacteria
Description: bacterial SSU rRNA
Rfam family: Bacterial small subunit ribosomal RNA
Source: RNAcentral
AAUUUUUCGCAAUGGGCGCAAGCCUGACGAAGCAACGCCGCGUGGAGGAUGAAGGCCUUCGGGUCGUAAACUCCUGUCGACCGGGACGAAUGCAGCCUGGGUAAAUAGCCCGGGCUGUUGACUGUACCGGUGGAGGAAGCCACGGCUAACUCUGUGCCAGCAGCCGCGGUAAUACAGAGGUGGCAAGCGUUGUUCGGAAUUACUGGGCGUAAAGGGCGCGUAGGCGGUUCGAUAGGUCCCGUGUGAAAGCCCCCGGCUCAACUGGGGAACUGCACGGGAAACUGACGGACUUGAGUUCGGGAGAGGGAAGCGGAAUUCCGGGUGUAGCGGUGAAAUGCGUAGAUAUCCGGAGGAACACCGGUGGCGAAGGCGGCUUCCUGGACCGACACUGACGCUGAGGCGCGAAAGCUAGGGGAGCAAAC